GGGCGAUUAGCUCAGUUGGGAGAGCGCUCCCCUCACACGGGAGAGGUCACUGGAUCAAGACCAGUAUCGCCCACCA
This 76-nucleotide transfer RNA is filed under the name Nitrospirae bacterium RIFCSPLOWO2_01_FULL_62_17. Its description in RNAcentral is "tRNA-Val". It matches the Rfam family "tRNA". From Rfam's summary of the family: Transfer RNA (tRNA) molecules are approximately 80 nucleotides in length. Their secondary structure includes four short double-helical elements and three loops (D, anti-codon, and T loops). Lineage: Bacteria; Pseudomonadati; Nitrospirota. RNAcentral also lists the same sequence under 3 other names. The record is from RNAcentral.